GAUGAACGCUGGCGGCGUGCCUAAUACAUGCAAGUCGAGCGAACAGACGAGGAGCUUGCUCCUCUGACGUUAGCGGCGGACGGGUGAGUAACACGUGGAUAACCUACCUAUAAGACUGGGAUAACUACGGGAAACCGGAGCUAAUACCGGAUAAUAUAUUGAACCGCAUGGUUCAAUAGUGAAAGACGGUUUUGCUGUCACUAAUAGAUGGAUCCGCGCCGCAUUAGCUAGUUGGUAAGGUAACGGCUUACCAAGGCAACGAUGCGUAGCCGACCUGAGAGGGUGAUCGGCCACACUGGAACUGAGACACGGUCCAGACUCCUACGGGAGGCAGCAGUAGGGAAUCUUCCGCAAUGGGCGAAAGCCUGACGGAGCAACGCCGCGUGAGUGAUGAAGGUCUUCGGAUCGUAAAACUCUGUUAUUAGGGAAGAACAAAUGUGUAAGUAACUAUGCACGUCUUGACGGUACCUAAUCAGAAAGCCACGGCUAACUACGUG
RNAcentral lists this ribosomal RNA (497 nucleotides) under uncultured bacterium. RNAcentral describes it as "partial 16S ribosomal RNA". It matches the Rfam family "Bacterial small subunit ribosomal RNA", at positions 28 to 507 of the family's 1533-position model. The record is from RNAcentral.